UGUUCCAACGGCUGCUUCCAGGAAGAAGGGGAGGUGUAGCCACAGAUAGCUGCCUUUUUCCCUAGUCUUUGUGGAUGGCUGUUUAACA
This 88-nucleotide microRNA precursor is filed under the name Callithrix jacchus (white-tufted-ear marmoset). RNAcentral's name for it is "microRNA cja-mir-9908 precursor". Lineage: Eukaryota; Metazoa; Chordata; Mammalia; Primates; Cebidae. The record is from miRBase by way of RNAcentral.